This is a long non-coding RNA of Hirundo rustica (Barn swallow), 2819 nucleotides long. RefSeq lists it as uncharacterized. Lineage: Eukaryota; Metazoa; Chordata; Aves; Passeriformes; Hirundinidae. The transcript has 7 exons. The record is from RefSeq and is a predicted model, not a curated record.
CUUCGUGGAGUCAGAUUCUCAGUGAAGAACAUGGAAAUGAGGAUGCUGAAGGUUCAAACAAGCCUCAGAAACACAAAAUUUCUCACCAAGGAGAGAGAAUAAAACACUAUGGCAUGAAAAACAAAGAAGAAGCCCAGUCCUACACUGUGGAAUGUGGAUUUCUGAAGCUGCAUCAACAAAAAUCUCGGUUCAAAAAUUUGAGCUAGAAGACUCCAAAUGGCAGUUUUUCCUCUGUGUUUUUGGCUGCCUACUGCCUGGCCAUUGACAUGUUCUCCAGUUAGCUUGGGGAAGAAAAAUAACUUCUGGUGAGCUCUGGAUUUGUGCUGAGAAGAACAUCUUAAGUCAUUGGGCUCUUUCUGAUCAAAGUGAAUAGCUCGCUGCUGUGUUCCUCUUUCCUGUGGGGCCUGGUUUUCCUGAUUUAACACUCCUCUGACCAUCUUGGCCUUCACGAGUCACUGCUGGUUCUUCGUAAGUCAAGACAGAUCCAGCAUAUUAAAGAUGAAGAUGGAUGAUGGCACAUCUUGAUUAAAAACCUUUCUCUGCAACGGUAAAGUCUUCCCCUUAUGCUCAAGAGACUGAGAAUGAUGAGCCAACCAGCUGCUAAGUGGAAGCAUCAUCAGCCUGUAGAGGUCAGAUCCACCUCGGAAUGUAUCUGAAAUAUACUACAGAAAACAACUUCAGGGAAUUUUACUGCCAUAAGCCGUAAGUCUUCAUAAAGCUCCAGCUAAAACAUGUCCUUUCCUUCUCCUUUUGCUUGACUGGUAGACCCAGCUCAGUGUGAUCUGAAUGUUCAGUACAUCUGCUCUCUAACACUCUCCAACAACAACAAAAAAGUUGAUGGGUUUCUUGAUUUCAUGGUAUUUUAUGCUCUUAAAUGUGUGACAUGUAAUGAAACAGAUAUUUCAGAUGAAGAUACUAGAAAAAUGUCAAACAUUAUCAUGUUGUGUUUUGCUAUAAAAUACAUUUGAUUUUUUUUUCUCCUUGGUAAUUUUCACCUAACCUUGUUUAGCUCGUAGUUGGAGAUUCAAUAGUCCUCAAAUAACACAUCUUGCAUUUGUUACUAUUGAACUUGAUCCAAUUGCUAUUACACUAUUUCUUUAGAUCAAUUAAUUUCAUGAAAUUGUUAACUUACACUAUUGACAAUGUCUCUCAUUUUGACCUUCUCAGCAUUACUUACUCUUUUCUAUUGACUAUAUUAUAAAUGAAGUUGUUAUUGAGGUACUCAGUGGUGUUGAUUCUGUGUUCAGACUCCCUUUAUCCUGAUGCUUCAACAUGACCCUCUAUUGCCUUCCUUUAAGUUCUUAAGAAAUCUAAAAUUCAGAUCCCCGUCUUUUCCAAUGUAGCUAAAUUUUCUUGCAAUAAUACAUUAAAAGCUUUUUACAGAAACUGCAGCUAUUCCAAGUGAUACAUAUAAUUUUAUUAUUAUUUUAGAUCUUCUCUAUAAGUUCUCCAGAAAUUCUGAAAUGGGUGUGUUCUGAUACAAGCACAGAAUACCAAUAUGGGAUUUCCUCUCCCAAUUUAAGAUUCUAUGAUCUCCCUGUAGCUAAUAGAUUAGCAGGGGAUAUAAAUAAAAUUAACAAAUCCUCCUUCAGGAAUAGACAAAUAGAUCUCUGCUUCUAUCAAGGGAGCCUGUGUUCGUUUAGAUGACUACUGUUAGAGAUACAAAUUUAUUAUGACUAUUCUUAUUGCAGCUUCCCUAGGAAUAAACCUUAAUUAUUUAGUAUUUCAUAAUAUAAAAGAAAUCUAGAUUUAAAUGUUAUUGGCACUCAUUGCCAAAAGAAAACUGGUCCACUCCCCACAACCUGUGCAUUGUCCAGACCAAUUAUUAAGCUGUUUUUUCCCUUGAUUGUUUGUUCAGACACUGGGAGUUUCAAGUCUAGGAGCAUAAGAAUGCAGCAGCUUAUCUUUGAACAGGGGACUGAUUGAGAGAAAGAGCAGUGAUCUGUUUGUUUCAGUUAGCAGCAUUUGGUGUUAAGUAUUUGAUAUAUUGUAGAGAGAUUAGUUGCAUAAACCACAGUGGUUCUGUCUUCAGGGGUCUGCAAGGAUUUAUAAUUCUUUCUAAAAAGAUCAACAGGCAGUUGAAGUUCUGUCACCGUGACCAUGACAAGGUACUUGGAUCCUCAACUGUUAGAAGAGGACUUGUUCUCUGUCUUUGCUGUCCCUACUCUGUCUAGAAUCAGAACAGUCCUAGAAGUAGCACUUGGACUUGAGGAGGACAUCCAGCAGAGGUAGCUCCUAUUACGUCUUUGUGCUCUUGGCCUUGGUGUAAACAGGACACUUGAGAAACCACAGACUGGAGGAGGCAGGGAUGUGCCAAGCGCCAGCUGGAUCUGCUCCCUGACAAAGUCACAGAGGCAGGAGAGCUACCACUUGUAGCUCCUCCUUUGGGCAUUUUCAAAUAAAGAGCUGGGACCAGUCUGCAGGUAAGGGAGAAACUGUCAUCAUUUGAACAAGAGAAAUAAUAGAAAUAGUAGAAAAAGUUAGGAGAUGCAGCCUGAAAAAAAAAAAAAGUUCUUUGUACUGCACACACUCUUCAGUUGCAUUCUGAUAUCUGUGUCAAAACCUGGCAGACAGAAGUUUUGAUAAAGUAAGGAUAUGAUCUGGCUUGGAGCUGGAGUUCAGGAGUAUCCUCUUUAUUGUAACUGCUAUGUCAAGAGGAUUUUGUACCUGAUAUUAAGCAUUUCCAGAUAUGAAGUCUUCAAAUCCUCUAAGAUACAAUUAAUUUACUGCCAUCUGAUUAAAAACAAAGAAACAAACAAAACAAAACAAAAAAACAAAACAAACAAACAAAAAAAACCAAACCCAAACAAAACUUCAUG